GGCGACGACGAUGGCGACGACGACGAGGGUACCUGUGGCGGCUGCUAUGGGCGUCGAGGACGUUGCACUGAACCGCUUCGCCCCGUGAGAACGACGGGAGCACAGAAAGAACGAUGGAACGAGCGAAUACGUGUUCCUGCUGUUAAACCAAAGAGCUCCUUUCACCGUCCUUUUUAAGAAGGAAACACGCGUGGAAGGAUAAAGAAAAAGAUCUCGCUGCGAGGGACAAAACGAGAAGGACGCGUGGCUCGUCGAGGCGUAGGCGAGCGCACGAGUUACCCUUUUCAACCUUCGACCCAAAGUAUCAACUCAUCUCUCUCUCUCUCUCUCUCUCUCUCUCUCUCUCUCUCUCUCUCUCUCUCUCUCUCUCUCUCUCGAGGAGUUCACGUUACAAGAUAUACGCCACAUGACAAAAAUUUUCCCUUUCCCAUAGGAAUUGCGAGAUGUAACGAGCCUCUUUAUGGUCGAGAGAUUGGAGCAUGAAAAAAAUUCAUCUGCGAGUAAUCCCGAUGCGUCUGAACUCGAUUUCAACAGAAAAAUGAUAAAAAAAAAGAAAAAGAAAAAAGAAAGAAAGAAAAGAAAAAAGGAAAAAAAGAGAAAAAAAAAGAAAAGAAACGAAAAUAAAUCGAUUAUGGAAGAAAAAUAUCUUUUCGAAUAUUUCUCAAAAAUUUCGAUCUAUAUUUUCGUCCUAUCUAUUAUUUUAAUUUACGUUCUAUAGUUGUUAAUGAGAAUCUCUGCUUUUUAGGAAUGACAUCGUACGCUUCUCUUCAUUGUCAGUCUCCCUUAUAUGUGAACACUUGAUAUAUAUUUCGACGCGACGACGACCACGACGACGAUGACCGUGCACUACUUGGUAUCGCGCUCACACGUAACUGAAUUACCGUCGUUGGUUAAACAAAUCUCUUCUCGGUAAGAGAACUUCCACGAAAACAGUGCUCGACAUUUAUUUUCGGUGACUUCGACCAGCUCCAUAGAAAUGACUUGAUAAUGGACAUCAAAUGUAUGCAGCAUCCUUGAAGAAUAAUAGAUCAUCGGAAUGGGACUUACCUGAAAUAGAGAAAAAAAAGAAAAAAUCUUAUUAGUCAUCAAAUUCUAAAUCAAACAGGCGGAGAGAGAGAGAGAGAGAGAGAGAGAGAGAGAGAGAGAGAGAGAGAGAGAGAGAGAGAGAGAGAGAGAGACAU
Long non-coding RNA from Vespa velutina, 1181 nucleotides. RefSeq lists it as uncharacterized. NCBI's taxonomy places the organism in Eukaryota, Metazoa, Arthropoda, Insecta, Hymenoptera, Vespidae. The record is from RefSeq and is a predicted model, not a curated record. The transcript has 3 exons.